UCCGAGCGUUAUCCGGAAAUUAUUGGGUUUAAAGGGUCCGUAGGCGGGCCAUUAAGUCAGUGGUGAAAGUCUGCAGCUCAACUGUAGAAUUGCCUUUGAUACUGGUGGUCUUGAGUUAUGGUGAAGUGGCUGGAAUAUGUAGUGUAGCGGUGAAAUGCAUAGAUAUUACAUAGAACACCGAUUGCGAAGGCAGGUCACUAACCAUAUACUGACGCUGAUGGACGAAAGCGUGGGGAGCGAACAGGAUUAGAUACCCUGGUAGUCCACGCCGUAAACGAUGGAUACUAGCUGUCCGGGACCUUGAGUCCUGGGCGGCCAAGCGAAAGUGAUAAGUAUCCCACCUGGGGAGUACGUUCGCAAGAAUGAAACUCAAAGGAAUUGACGGGGGCCCGCACAAGCGGUGGAGCAUGUGGUUUAAUUCGAUGAUACGCGAGGAACCUUACCAGGGCUUAAAUGUAGAUUGACAGGGGUAGAGAUACCUUUUCCUUCGGGCAAUUUACAAGGUGCUGCAUGGUUGUCGUCAGCUCGUGCCGUGAGGUGUCAGGUUAAGUCCUAUAACGAGCGCAACCCCUGCCGUUAGUUGCCAGCAUGUAAAGAUGGGGACUCUAACGGGACUGCCGGUGCAAACCGUGAGGAAGGUGGGGAUGACGUCAAGUCAUCACGGCCCUUACGUCCUGGGCCACACACGUGCUACAAUGGCCGGUACAGAGAGCAGCCACUUGGCGACAAGGAGCGAAUCUACAAAACCGGUCACAGUUCGGAUCGGGGUCUGCAACUCGACCCCGUGAAGCUGGAAUCGCUAGUAAUCGGAUAUCAGCCAUGAUCCGGUGAAUACGUUCCCGGGCCUUGUACACACCGCCCGUCAAGCCAUGGAAGCCGGGAGUGCCUG
This 889-nucleotide ribosomal RNA is filed under the name uncultured bacterium. RNAcentral's name for it is "bacterial SSU rRNA". It matches the Rfam family "Bacterial small subunit ribosomal RNA", at positions 533 to 1423 of the family's 1533-position model. The record is from RNAcentral.